CAUGGCUCAGAUUGAACGCUGGCGGCAUGCCUUACACAUGCAAGUCGAACGGCAGCACGGGUGCUUGCACCUGGUGGCGAGUGGCGAACGGGUGAGUAAUACAUCGGAACGUACCUUAUCGUGGGGGAUAACGCAGCGAAAGCUGUGCUAAUACCGCAUACGCCCUGAGGGGGAAAGCGGGGGAUCGAAAGACCUCGCGCGAUUAGAGCGGCCGAUGCCUGAUUAGCUUGUUGGUGGGGUAAAAGCCCACCAAGGCGACGAUCAGUAGCUGGUCUGAGAGGACGAUCAGCCACACUGGGACUGAGACACGGCCCAGACUCCUACGGGAGGCAGCAGUGGGGAAUUUUGGACAAUGGGGGAAACCCUGAUCCAGCAAUGCCGCGUGAGUGAAGAAGGCCUUCGGGUUGUAAAGCUCUUUUGUCAGGGAAGAAACACCGGCUCUAACACAGUCCGGGAAUGACGGUACCUGAAGAAUAAGCACCGGCUAACUACGUG
RNAcentral lists this ribosomal RNA (495 nucleotides) under uncultured bacterium. RNAcentral describes it as "bacterial SSU rRNA". It matches the Rfam family "Bacterial small subunit ribosomal RNA", at positions 18 to 507 of the family's 1533-position model. The record is from RNAcentral.